CAGCAGCCACGGGAAUACGUAGGGUGCUAGCGUUGUUCGGAAUUACUGGGCGUAAAGCGCACGUAGGCGGCUUUGUAAGUUAGAGGUGAAAGCCUGGAGCUCAACUCCAGAAUUGCCUUUAAGACUGCAUCGCUUGAAUCCAGGAGAGGUGAGUGGAAUUCCGAGUGUAGAGGUGAAAUUCGUAGAUAUUCGGAAGAACACCAGUGGCGAAGGCGGCUCACUGGACUGGUAUUGACGCUGAGGUGCGAAAGCGUGGGGAGCAAACAGGAUUAGAGACCCCGGUAGUCCCUGUCUCUUAUAC
RNAcentral lists this ribosomal RNA (301 nucleotides) under uncultured bacterium. Its description in RNAcentral is "partial 16S ribosomal RNA". It matches the Rfam family "Bacterial small subunit ribosomal RNA", at positions 509 to 807 of the family's 1533-position model. The record is from RNAcentral.